UGCAGAGAUUCUGAGAGAGAACGUAGG
Molecule: non-coding RNA, 27 nt
Filed under: Homo sapiens (human)
Lineage: Eukaryota; Metazoa; Chordata; Mammalia; Primates; Hominidae
Source: RNAcentral